Non-coding RNA from Callithrix jacchus (white-tufted-ear marmoset), 4840 nucleotides. The record is from RefSeq and is a predicted model, not a curated record. NCBI's taxonomy places the organism in Eukaryota, Metazoa, Chordata, Mammalia, Primates, Cebidae.
GGGAAAGAGGAAUUUGAUAUGUCAACCCUGGCCACUUGUAUGAUUAUCAAAUAGCCAUUGUGAGGACAUUUGUAUUACAUUAGGAUCAAUCGCUUUCAAAAAUACUUAUUCACUAGCAAAUUAUUAAUAAUUUAGAUUUAACCAACUUAUAGGUAACUCCUUAUCACCACGUUUAUCUUCUGCUUUCUGGAGAUGUCCAUAUUGAUUCGAUCUUUGCUUCUCUGGGUUAUUUGUAAUUAAAAAAUACAAAGUACACUUUCUGAACCCUUACAUAUCAGAACUCGUCUUUUGCUUCAACACUUGGUUGAUAACUUCAACACCUGGCUCCAGGGACUUCUUUCAGUGUUUCAGGUGAGUCUCAUGCUGUUUCAAAUUGUAGGUCUCUGGGACCUGCGAAUUUUUUCUCUUUAUCCGUCUAAUUCAGAGCUUAAAGCCUCCAUGAUUAGAGCCUUGGAAGUACAAAGUCAGGAGAAUUAGAAUCCUCAGUGGCUCUCUAGUUUUGGUGCAUUGUAGGGAAAGCAUUUAGUGAUGAUGUACUUGUGAAGGGACAGUACACAUGUAGCGUCUCCUCAAGUCGAUGCAGAAAACCAGAACAAAAGGAAGCUUAAGGAUGAUUACAAUAAACUUGCCCAUAGAACACAGAUUACCAUGUCAAAAUUAUUUUAUUAAUUUCUAGUUCAAAUUUUGAAAAGGUUUCUUAAAAAAUGUCUCUUAAAUAUUAAGACGGCCAAGUCUUUCGGGGAAAAUGUUUGUCAUUCAUCCAACAAAUACUUGAUUGGCUGCCCUGUGCUUGGAACUAUGUGGAUAAGGUUUUGCCCUCAUGUACUAGAAAAUGUAUUAUCCUGAGAUGAUCUGAUCAACUGGAAUUAUGUUCACAGGGCAAAUAAAUUACUGUUCAGUGAAUGAGACCGGAAGGCUUUGUGGAAGAGAGAAUUAAAAAAGGGACGGAGGAUGGGUAAUGGGUAAGAUUUCGACACGCAGAACUCCUGUGCAGGAGGAGAAAUCCAGCAUUCUGGGGAUGGCGGACAACUGGAGGCAAAGGAACAGAUAGCACAGGCUCCAGUGUAAGGAACAAUGAGGAAUUCUAUAUGAAAAUCAUGGAAAAAGGCAGAGGAGGAAAUGGCCAGAUGGAGUUUCACUCUUGUUGCCCAGGCUGGAGUGCAGUGGCGUGAUCUCGGCUCACUGCAACAAACACCUCCCGAGUUCAAGCACUUCUCCUGCCUCAGCCUCCCAAGAAGCUGGGAUUACAGGUGCCUGCCACCAUGCCUGGCUAAUUUUUUAGUAGAGAUGGAGUUUCACCAUGUUGGCCAGGCUGGUAUUGAACUCCUGACCUCAGAUGAUCCACCCGCCUCAGGCUCCCAAAGUGCUGGGCUUACAUGUGUGAGCCACCGCGCCGGGCCUAAAGUAUCUAUCUAUUGAGUAAAGCAAAGUGAGCCUAUUUACAUAAAAAAAAAGACCGUUCACCCUCAUCUGCAAUAAUGGCAGCCAAAGACUACAGUAAAGUGCACUUCUGUGCACUUCCUCAUGGAUACAGUCUCCAUCAAGCACCGUGCUCUUUUCCCAUUCCCUUUCUAAAGCAGACAGAACCUGGGAAUUUAUGUGCUAUGCUGUUAACAGUGUUAUCAGGGAGAAAAGGUGUUUUCAUUUCCUUUAAGGUAAAACUAGUUCCUCCAAAGAAUGGCAGUGACAUAUUCUGAAAAAGUAAGGUAAAAGAGCAAAAUAUAUUCUUUCCAUGACGUCCUUUAACUAUUUCAUAUGAAUUUAAAACAUAUUUAGUGUUAAUUCUAAGAAUAUAGAAAUGUUGCAUUAAUUUGCAGAAAUUAAACAAAGAAAAAGAGGAAGGAACUGCCAAACUGGAAUUACGUUCAUUUUCUUUAACCCUCUGAAAGUAGGAAAGCUGAAAAGGUAAUGGAAGAAUUUUUCCUAUCAUACUGAAAGAGGUGCUAUGAGAUACAUAACAAAUUAUUUCUGCAGUUGGUUCCUGGACAGGUAUAAACUGAAUUUUUUACAAUUGUUAUCUGUCUCGGAGGCUGUGUCACUAACCCUUUAGCAGAUGAGUUUUAGCUGAAAUGGUUUGUGUGUAAUCGCCAUUUUGGUCCACACGAAUUAUCAAGGGAGCUUUCUUCAGCAAAAUUUUAGGCUAACAGCCCAAAGGAAACUCUGAAAGAAUAAUUUAUGGUACUGACAGUAAGUGUUAAAGAAAUGCUAAAUGCCAGUUUUAUCUCCCAGGAACAAGCAACUAAUAUCCUUUUUUGAAUUCUAAACUCACCUAAAUUAAAGUUUUGAUGCACAGUCUUUUGACUUUUUAAAAUUUGCAGUAUCUAUCCUUCCUAUAAAGAUACAAAAGUUUUAAAACCAAAAACCUAGAUUUUACAUUUCAUUUCAGCAAUAAAGUACUGUCCUAGAGCCAGCUAUUAGAAUAUAUUUAUCUAAUGAGAAAAUACUUAUAAUUUGAAGAAAAAAUGUGAUAGCAAAUAGAAAAGUAUCAUCUAUUAAAAUUUCAGGAAGAUCUACAUUAUCUAAAGCCAUUCUAUAAUUUUAUUCAUAUAUUUUGUGGAAUUCACAUAUCUUAUUCUUACAGCAAACAUAACACUGUAGGCCACAAGAAGCCGCAGUACUAUUGUUUAAUUAGCAGCAAAUUAAUAUUUUAUAUCUGGGUAUAUGGACAAUAAAUAGCCUGCUUCUUUGGAUGUGAAUGUUUAAAAUGUAGUAUCACUGCAGCUUCAUAAUGUGAUUGUUAUUUUACAGAGCUUAUACACACACAAAAAAUAUGAUCUUUGUCUAUAUUUUAUACAAAUACAACAGUAGUUUGUGAAUACAUUUUAAGUACAUGAUAUACAUGAUAAGCCACUUGAUUUCCCAAUAUCACAGAAUAGCAAUUUCAAAUGCAAUAAAAAUAUACAAAAUUCAGCCUGGAAUGCAGAUAUUUUUCUUUUCUAUUUUGACUCAAAACUUUAUCAUUAGAACAUUUUUAGAGUACUAGUCCAAACACGUUUUCAUUAGCUAAAAAUACAAUUUCAGCAGUCCAGCUUAUGUUCAGGUAUGAUGCAAUCCAUUUCCGAAUGGAUUCCCAGUUUUCGUUAAAUUCAAAGGGCUGUUAGUAACAUACAGCAUGUUCUUCACUCCACACCCUAUUAUAAAGCCCACUUUCCAUUCUGAGUUUUGUCCUUGUGGACAAAAGCUGGGUUUGUUCUGGUAACAUCUGCGUGUCCAAGAUCUCCUUUUGCAAGUGCACAUGAAUACAUCGUGGUGGUGUAAAAGUUUGUUAAUGACACAUUAAGUCACAGUAUAAAAAUAUAUUGUACACUUUUACACCUAAUGUAGUCCUUUUUCUAUGGAUAAAAAAAUAUGACUGAAUGAGACAGAGAAGUUUGUAGCACCAUGAAGAGUUGUAGCCCAAGUUACAUUAGCAGCAUGAUCCAACGUAAUAUUGAAGGAGUGUUUCUGAGAAGAUAAAACAUUCAUUCUGGUUCAUCUGUACCACUGAAGCUUAUACAAUGAAGUGUUUAAUACAUUAGCAAUAGUUCUGUGUCAUUUCUAGUCUAGAUAGCAUCAAAAAGACACUGCCUUCCAUCCUCAGAGGGUUGACAACAUCAUAGAAAGGCCCUAAGUGUGAUCUGGGUGUGCCUUCACCAAUGCUGGUCGCAUAAUCUUCUCUUCCAUGACCCCAAAGGAACUCUCUAUGGGUUUUUAGCAGAAAACUAUACAACGUAUGUAGAUCUAUGUGAUCACAACAGACCAUCUGUGUUGUUGACACGGCUGCUGACAGUGUGAAAAAAACAAGACAAAUUCAACUUAGGCACACAUUUACCAGAACUAACAGUCAGCCAUUGCUAAUGACAAAUACUCGACAUUUAAAAGAUCUCCUCCAAUGUCACAUGGAUCUCAGUAGGCUAGAAGCAACUUGGGUGAACUGGUAUUUUUUAACUUACGUACUGGGAAGACAGUGUGCUUUGAGACACGUAAACCUUGUAAAAAAAUAAACCAUUGUAAAACCUUAUGAAAAGACACACACUGAUUCUGUGCAAUAUAGCAAAUUGAUAAGAAAACACUGUAAAAAUGUACCUGUUUAAAAUACCAUCUACCAUUUUUGUACACAAAGCAUUAUAUAUCAAAGGCCUAAGAUAUAUAUCAUCUAAUGGCACUUGAAACGAAUUAUAAUAAGUCUUAAAAUAAAAGGCAUAACCUAUAAGAAAGUUUCUGUAAAGGUUUAGAUUCAUUUUGAAAGUGCUAUAUCUUGUAAUAUGUGUAGUAUAGAGGUUGACCAAGCUCUAUUUUUUAAAAAAAUAUUGGCCUAUAAUAAUGUGUAUUGCUCACUAGAUGAAUGAUCCUGAAAGUAUGUACUCCUUAACAUUCAUUAUUAGCUUAAUAAAGCAAUCAGCUCUGGCUCAUGUUUCAGUCAGUAGAUGGUUUUUAAAAACCGCUACUGUCCAAAUUAACACAAUAUAUCACUAUAUUCCACAAAUGACUAAGAAAAAUAAAGCACAAGCAACAAAUAGGCCAAAAUACACAGCUCGAAAGGAACACUAAAUGAAAUUAAGAAGUUGCAUGGAGAGUGAUGCAUGAUCAGCCAGGACAACUGAAGUUUUUAAAAACUGAACUUGGUAAUGAUUUUAAAAUGAAAGUUUUAACAGUGAUCAGUAACUAUAAAGUACUUGUAUACAUCAAUGGAUAGCAUUGCUUACAGUGCCAAGAUCCUUCCACACUCACACUUACGUGUUUGGUGACCUAAUUUGUACACACAUGUGGAAGUGAAACUGAAUGAGGUUCAAUAUCUUGUCUGAGGUCCAAAUUCUAAGCUACUCUUAUUUAAUGUUAAUCCCUUUUUUUUUUUUUUUUU